Molecule: ribosomal RNA, 620 nt
Filed under: uncultured bacterium
Lineage: Bacteria
Description: bacterial SSU rRNA
Rfam family: Bacterial small subunit ribosomal RNA
Source: RNAcentral
CCUACGGGAGGCAGCAGUGGGGAAUUUUGGACAAUGGGCGCAAGCCUGAUCCAGCAAUGCCGCGUGCAGGAUGAAGGCCUUCGGGUUGUAAACUGCUUUUGUACGGAGCGAAACGGUCUCUUCUAAUACAAGGGGCUAAUGACGGUACCGUAAGAAUAAGCACCGGCUAACUACGUGCCAGCAGCCGCGGUAAUACGUAGGGUGCAAGCGUUAAUCGGAAUUACUGGGCGUAAAGCGUGCGCAGGCGGUGAUGUAAGACAGAUGUGAAAUCCCCGGGCUCAACCUGGGACCUGCAUUUGUGACUGCAUCGCUAGAGUACGGUAGAGGGGGAUGGAAUUCCGCGUGUAGCAGUGAAAUGCGUAGAUAUGCGGAGGAACACCGAUGGCGAAGGCAAUCCCCUGGACCUGUACUGACGCUCAUGCACGAAAGCGUGGGGAGCAAACAGGAUUAGAUACCCUGGUAGUCCACGCCCUAAACGAUGUCAACUGGUUGUUGGGUCUUCACUGACUCAGUAACGAGCUAACGCGUGAAGUUGACCGCCUGGGGAGUUACGGCCGCAAAGGUUGAAACUUCAAAGGNAGUUGGCGNGNGAGNGCGACGACGCGACGAGGAGGAGGAGG